Molecule: non-coding RNA, 48 nt
Filed under: Schistosoma curassoni
Lineage: Eukaryota; Metazoa; Platyhelminthes; Trematoda; Strigeidida; Schistosomatidae
Source: RNAcentral
AUCCAGAUGACGAGUCCCAAAUAGGACGAAACGCGCGUCGAACUGGAU